CAGCAAGUUCGGCUUCUUUUGGAUUCAUUACGAAAUCGCCAAACGUGAAAAACAAAUUUUAGAAAAAUAUCGUCAAAUCAAAACGAAGAAGUUUAUAGAGAUUUUAUACAAAUAGAUGUGCUCAGUAUAAGUCAUAGAAGCUAGGUUUACAAAUCGUUUUGCUCUUUAACGCACGGUUUCCGAGUAAUAUUAUCUGUCUCGAUACUUUUUGAUUAGCC
This is a non-coding RNA of Cinara cedri, 218 nucleotides long. Lineage: Eukaryota; Metazoa; Arthropoda; Insecta; Hemiptera; Aphididae. The record is from the annotation of a GenBank genome assembly.